UACGUAGGGUGCGAGCGUUAAUCGGAAUUACUGGGCGUAAAGCGUGCGCAGGCGGUUCGUUGUGUCGGCGGUGAAAUCCCCGGGCUCAACCUGGGAAUGGCCGUUGAAACUGGCGAACUGGAGUGUGGCAGAGGGGGGUGGAAUUCCGCGUGUAGCAGUGAAAUGCGUAGAGAUGUGGAGGAACACCGAUGGCGAAGGCAGCCUCCUGGGCCAGCACUGACGCUCAUGCACGAAAGCGUGGGGAGCAAACAGG
RNAcentral lists this ribosomal RNA (253 nucleotides) under uncultured bacterium. Its description in RNAcentral is "partial 16S ribosomal RNA". It matches the Rfam family "Bacterial small subunit ribosomal RNA", at positions 524 to 776 of the family's 1533-position model. The record is from RNAcentral.